UACGGGGGGGGCAAGCGUUGUUCGGAAUUACUGGGCGUAAAGGGCUCGUAGGCGGCCAACUAAGUCAGACGUGAAAUCCCUCGGCUUAACCGGGGAACUGCGUCUGAUACUGGAUGGCUCGAGUUUGGGAGAGGGAUGCGGAAUUCCAGGUGUAGCGGUGAAAUGCGCAGAUAUCGGGAGGAACACCGGUGGCGAAGGCGGUUCUCUGGGCCUGACCUGACGCUGAGGAGCGAAAGCGUGGGGAGCGAACAGG
This 253-nucleotide ribosomal RNA is filed under the name uncultured bacterium. RNAcentral describes it as "partial 16S ribosomal RNA". It matches the Rfam family "Bacterial small subunit ribosomal RNA", at positions 524 to 776 of the family's 1533-position model. The record is from RNAcentral.